UGCAUAGCCGACCUGAGAGGGUGAUCGGCCACACUGGAACUGAGACACGGUCCAGACUCCUACGGGAGGCAGCAGUAGGGAAUCUUCCGCAAUGGGCGAAAGCCUGACGGAGCAACGCCGCGUGAGUGAUGAAGGUCUUCGGAUCGUAAAACUCUGUUAUUAGGGAAGAACAUAUGUGUAAGUAACUGUGCACAUCUUGACGGUACCUAAUCAGAAAGCCACGGCUAACUACGUGCCAGCAGCCGCGGUAAUACGUAGGUGGCAAGCGUUAUCCGGAAUUAUUGGGCGUAAAGCGCGCGUAGGCGGUUUUUUAAGUCUGAUGUGAAAGCCCACGGCUCAACCGUGGAGGGUCAUUGGAAACUGGAAAACUUGAGUGCAGAAGAGGAAAGUGGAAUUCCAUGUGUAGCGGUGAAAUGCGCAGAGAUAUGGAGGAACACCAGUGGCGAAGGCGACUUUCUGGUCUGUAACUGACGCUGAUGUGCGAAAGCGUGGGGAUCAAACAGGAUUAGAUACCCUGGUAGUCCACGCCGUAAACGAUGAGUGCUAAGUGUUAGGGGGUUUCCGCCCCUUAGUGCUGCAGCUAACGCAUUAAGCACUCCGCCUGGGGAGUACGACCGCAAGGUGAAACUCAAAGGAAUUGACGGA
RNAcentral lists this ribosomal RNA (645 nucleotides) under uncultured bacterium. Its description in RNAcentral is "bacterial SSU rRNA". It matches the Rfam family "Bacterial small subunit ribosomal RNA", at positions 280 to 917 of the family's 1533-position model. The record is from RNAcentral.